This 329-nucleotide ribosomal RNA is filed under the name uncultured eukaryote. Its description in RNAcentral is "partial 18S ribosomal RNA". It matches the Rfam family "Eukaryotic small subunit ribosomal RNA", at positions 1470 to 1796 of the family's 1831-position model. The record is from RNAcentral.
CCCUUAGAUGUCCGGGGCCGCACGCGCGCUACACUGAAGGAAUCAGCGUGGCUUUCUCCCUGACCCGAAAGGGUUGGGAAACCCGUUGAAUCUCCUUCGUGAUAGGGAUUGGGGCUUGAAAUUGUUCCCCAUGAACGAGGAAUUCCCAGUAAGCGCGAGUCAUAAGCUCGCGUUGAUUACGUCCCUGCCCUUUGUACACACCGCCCGUCGCUACUACCGAUUGAGUGGUUCGGUGAGGCUUUGGGAUCUGAGCGGAAAGAGCGUUUCGCUGUUUCUGCUCGGAAAACUCAGUCGAACCUUAUCAUUUAGAGGAAGGAGAAGUCGUAACA